This 756-nucleotide long non-coding RNA is filed under the name Sorghum bicolor (sorghum). RNAcentral describes it as "long non-coding RNA (SBIC_LNC013114)". Lineage: Eukaryota; Viridiplantae; Streptophyta; Magnoliopsida; Poales; Poaceae. The record is from RNAcentral.
CUAUUUUUUUAUUUUGGGUAUAGUAGUAUUUUUGUUUUUAUUUGCUAAUUAUAUUUAAUUAUAAACUAACUAGAAUUAAAAAAAUUAUCUUGUGAUUUAUAGACAAAUUAUGAGUUUUUAUUUUUGUCUAUAUUUAAUGUUUCAUGAUGUGCCGCAUGAUUCAAUGUGAUGUAAAAUCUUGAAAAGUUUUUUAUUUUUAAGGUGAUCUAAAGAAGGUCAUAUACAUAUAUUCCUUUUGCAUGUAAAAGUAGAUACUGAAACAAGAGAGAUUACCGAGGAUCGUUCUCUUGAUCAGCAACCUCCGGGAGAGAGAGAAAAGGGGUAGCCAAGAAAUGUCCCUUUGGAAAACCUGUUAAUUUCCACACGUAAAGGAAAAAAAGAGCAAUGAAAGUAAGUAGUAGACCUCAUGUUGUGUUACCUAAACCGAAAGGAUCGUAUUCUUCUUAUAAUUUUAACUACAAAUGUGGAAGUUCUUGUGACAAAUUGAAGGAGAAAAGGGAGCAUAAAAGAUGGACUAAAAGGAGACCAGAACAAAAUAAACAUGGUAUAUCCAUUUGAGUUUCAUAUUUCGCCGUCCAAAAUCAUGGCAAAUCCUAAGGUGUCACCUUUUAAGUUCUAGAUCGAGAUGCUUCGUCGCAGCAAACUAUUUAUAGUUUUCUAAUUUUACGUGCACAUUUUAUUCUUCUAAGUUUCACAUUAAACAAUCCAAAGCAUCACCCAUUUAGCUUUUUAUUAGAUGCUUCUUUACACCAAUGG